AUACGUAGGGGGCGAGCGUUGUCCGGAAUGAUUGGGCGUAAAGGGCGCGUAGGCGGCCCGGUAAGUCUGGAGUGAAAGUCCUGUUUUUAAGAUGGGAAUUGCUUUGGAUACUGUCGGGCUUGAGUGCAGGAGAGGUAAGUGGAAUUCCCAGUGUAGCGGUGAAAUGCGUAGAGAUUGGGAGGAACACCAGUGGCGAAGGCGACGUACUGGACUGUAACUGACGCUGAGGCGCGAAAGUGUGGGGAGCAAACAGGAUUAGAUACCCUGGUAGUCCACACUGUAAACGAUGAAUGCUAGGUGUAGGGGGUAUCGACCCCUUCUGUGCCGCAGUCAACACAAUAAGCAUUCCGCCUGGGGAGUACGGCCGCAAGGUUGAAACUCAAAUGAAUUGACGG
RNAcentral lists this ribosomal RNA (395 nucleotides) under uncultured bacterium. RNAcentral describes it as "partial 16S ribosomal RNA". It matches the Rfam family "Bacterial small subunit ribosomal RNA", at positions 523 to 916 of the family's 1533-position model. The record is from RNAcentral.